UAUCAAACUACUUUGUCAUGCUUUGUGCACUGACAUUCUUGCAAAACCAUUCAUACCCAUGCUAAAUUAUGGAAAUGUAAAAGUUGAAUUGUAUUGAAAAGGACCAUGUAUGGUCAUGUAGUAUAUUUGAGCACUGAAACCCCUUUUUUUUACAUUUUAGAGAGGGAGGCAACACUCGAAAGCUACAUCAAGGACACCGGAGGAAGGACCAGAAGACCUGAGACCCAGACGACCCAGACGACCCAAGCCCAACCCGUAGUAUGCUUCACUGACCCAGACGACCCAAGCCCAACCCGUAGUAUGCUUCACUGACCCAGACGACCCAAGCCCAACCCGUAGUAUGCUUCACUGACCCAGACGACCCAAGCCCAACCCGUAGUAUGCUUCACUGACCAAGACGACCCAAGCCCAACCCGUAGUAUGCUUCACUGACAAAUGUUGAUGUUGAUGCUUCAUCAUCACAUAGACCAAAGGUUUCAGAGAAGGCUGGUAGAGCUCUCUAUGAGUGUGAGCUGUGGGAGAUAACCCAGAACUGACAACCACCUAAAGAAGAGGUGGCGAUAAUGGCUCUCCAAGAGGAGGUUGUGAGUCUGAAGGCUUUUAUUCAACAAGGAGGCACUUAGAGGGAAUGCCUGAACCCUGAGAGGACUAAGACGAUAAUUGAGGCCACCCUGAAGCAGUUCCCAGGCCAGACACUCACUCCAGAUUGCUGGGCCAGGCAAUAAAUGACAAAGUGACAGAACUGAGGUUCCAUAACAAAAACAAAGAUUUUCAAUAAAAUAGAAUAAAAGAUAA
Alosa alosa (allis shad) is the source of this 795-nucleotide long non-coding RNA. RefSeq lists it as uncharacterized. The transcript has 4 exons. NCBI's taxonomy places the organism in Eukaryota, Metazoa, Chordata, Actinopteri, Clupeiformes, Clupeidae. The record is from RefSeq and is a predicted model, not a curated record.